CAACUCAGAGGCUAUGGGCAUUUCAGUUUUCUUCACAGGCAUUAAACAGAACAUUUCUCCCUGGUUUUUCAAUUACACUAAAAUGGUCCAUCAAUCAAAGGACUUGCUUCUCCAAGGGAAUACAAAUGCACUGUGAAUUACAUCACCUCUUCCUGAGGGACGGUCUGCCAAUCCGGAGAGGCUCAGUGUUCAUUCACAUCUGCAAGGGACCAGUGCCUCCCUUCCUUGCCACUGGCCUUUGUAGACCUUCUAAGUCUGACUUCAAAGAGGAACACGGCACCUCCACUAUAGUCACCUCCUCAACCAUCCCUGACAACUGCCAGGGAAGUGUGAUGCUCAGUGAGUAAAUAAAGGCACUCACUGCCAAGCCUGAUGACCUGAGUCGAUCCCUGGAACUGACGCCUAUGAGUUGCCCUCUGACCUAUCCACACAGUGUGUCGUGUGUGGUGCACGUGCGUGUUUACAGGCACAGCUACCACACACACGCACAAUAAAUAAAGUGCAAUAGAAAGAAAUAAA
This 519-nucleotide long non-coding RNA is filed under the name Rattus norvegicus (Norway rat). Its description in RNAcentral is "long non-coding RNA NONRATT005808". The record is from RNAcentral. Lineage: Eukaryota; Metazoa; Chordata; Mammalia; Rodentia; Muridae.